GACGGAGGGUGCGAGCGUUAAUCGGAAUUACUGGGCGUAAAGCGCAUGUAGGCGGCCGAGCAAGUCAGGUGUGAAAUCCCAGGGCUUAACCUUGGAAGGGCACUUGAUACUGUCAGGCUUGAGUUCGGGAGAGGAAGGGGGAAUUCCCGGUGUAGCGGUGAAAUGCGUAGAUAUCGGGAGGAAUACCGGUGGCGAAGGCGCCACUCUGGACGGAUACUGACGCUGAGGCGCGAAAGCGUGGGGAGCAAACAGG
Molecule: ribosomal RNA, 253 nt
Filed under: uncultured bacterium
Lineage: Bacteria
Description: partial 16S ribosomal RNA
Rfam family: Bacterial small subunit ribosomal RNA
Source: RNAcentral